RNAcentral lists this long non-coding RNA (615 nucleotides) under Monodelphis domestica (gray short-tailed opossum). RNAcentral describes it as "lncRNA (ENSMODG00000049825.1)". The record is from RNAcentral. Lineage: Eukaryota; Metazoa; Chordata; Mammalia; Didelphimorphia; Didelphidae.
CAAAACUGUGGUGUGACUCAUGUACGGGGUUUCCCCAAAUAAAAUAAAUAGGGUGUCCUCUAGAAAAGUUACUCAGUACUAUAUAGUACAUGUUAGAUAUAGGAUAGCUAUUUAUCUUCCUUCACCAUAAAAGAAAUGGUUAAAAUACAAAUGACUUACAAAUAUAUACCGAUAAAACUCUUGAAACACUAACUCAUCAUUUCCAUUCUCCUAGGAGUUAGCAAUGACUCAUGGAAAACUUGUGGAACUGCUAAACAUAUUAUACUUUCACCUCAGUUUGCACUGUUAGAGCAUCAACUCAAGGUCAAGGUUUUCUAAACACCAAGGAUGUGGCUUGGACUUUCAAGUUUUAGUUUGAUUCCAGUAGGAGCAAUCCCCUACUCUAAAAAAUAGUACAGUUUCAGAAAGCACCUCCUGCUUCCGAUUUUAAGAGGACAGAAGAAGCCUUGGCUGGUCACCUGGGGAGUGAGUGCCCUGUGGCUUUGUUAUUUAAAGGAAAGGGAAACUUCCAUGUCGAAAAUAGCCUUGGGGUGGAAGAGGUUGGGCUUGGACAUCAUCUCUCCCCUGAAGGUAAAGGGAGACCCAGUGCCAUAGCAAAGCACUGCAUGCAAACCC